This 98-nucleotide transfer RNA is filed under the name Nitrosopumilus sp. b3. Its description in RNAcentral is "tRNA-Val". It matches the Rfam family "tRNA". Rfam says of the family: Transfer RNA (tRNA) molecules are approximately 80 nucleotides in length. Lineage: Archaea; Thermoproteati; Nitrososphaerota; Nitrososphaeria; Nitrosopumilales; Nitrosopumilaceae. The record is from RNAcentral.
GGACCGGUCGUCUAGUUUGGUUUGGAUGACGCACUCACACUGCGUAAGGGAAUAAUUCCCCGCAAGGGUCGUGGGUUCAAAUCCCAUCCGGUCCACCA